This is a long non-coding RNA of Pipra filicauda (Wire-tailed manakin), 260 nucleotides long. RefSeq lists it as uncharacterized. The record is from RefSeq and is a predicted model, not a curated record. Lineage: Eukaryota; Metazoa; Chordata; Aves; Passeriformes; Pipridae. The transcript has 3 exons.
GUUCCUUCCAGUUACCAAAAUUACAGAUACUUCCGGAAAUCUGAAGUGUUGUAGAAUACUAAAGUACCAGCAUUGAGUUCUCAUGGAAAAGCCUGAAAAGCAAGCUGCAGCAGAUUAAAUUGAAUCAACUCUACAAAAUGUCAGUUCUAAAACUCCCUGCUCCUCACCAAUUGCUUGAGCGACUCAGCUGCAGAACCAGGCUCUAUCCUGUGAAAGUGGUUAUUCCUGUGCACGCAAAAUUCACAUGGACAUCGAUGAGA